Molecule: ribosomal RNA, 274 nt
Filed under: uncultured bacterium
Lineage: Bacteria
Description: partial 16S ribosomal RNA
Rfam family: Bacterial small subunit ribosomal RNA
Source: RNAcentral
AUACGGAGGGGGCUAGCGUUGUUCGGAAUUACUGGGCGUAAAGCGCGUGUAGGCGGAUCGUUAAGUCAGGGGUGAAAGCCCGGAGCUCAACUCCGGAAUUGCCCUUGAUACUGGCGGUCUAGAGGCCGGGAGAGGUGAGCGGAAUUCCCAGUGUAGAGGUGAAAUUCGUAGAUAUUGGGAGGAACACCAGUGGCGAGGGCGGCUCACUGGCCCGGUUCUGACGCUGAGACGCGAAAGCGUGGGGAGCAAACAGGAUUAGAUACCCUAGUAGUCC